GACAGAGGUGCCAAGCGUUAGGCGGAAUCACUGGGCUUAAAGCGUGUGUAGGCGGGCGAUCAAGUACCUUGUGAAAGCCCACGGCUCAACCGUGGAGGGUCAUUGGAAACUGGGGAACUUGAGUGCAGAAGAGGAAAGUGGAAUUCCAAGUGUAGCGGUGAAAUGCGUAGAGAUUUGGAGGAACACCAGUGGCGAAGGCGACUUUCUGGUCUGUAACUGACACUGAGGCGCGAAAGCGUGGGGAGCGAACAGG
RNAcentral lists this ribosomal RNA (253 nucleotides) under uncultured bacterium. RNAcentral's name for it is "partial 16S ribosomal RNA". It matches the Rfam family "Bacterial small subunit ribosomal RNA", at positions 524 to 776 of the family's 1533-position model. The record is from RNAcentral.